AACCUGGAAAGAGUUUUGUUCUAGCUGCUGCUGCUGUUGGGAUGGCUGCCAGAAAUGGGCUUGUGAAGGGCGUUGAAGUGGCGGCUGGAGAGGCUGCAACUGAUGCAUUGACUGCUGCAUCAUGGGGAGCAUACUCUGGGUAUCACCUGGUUGCUGACUUGGCCUACUCAAACCCAAUGGUGGCAUCAUUUGAGGAGGUGGGUAAGAAGUUAGGCCAGCA
RNAcentral lists this long non-coding RNA (220 nucleotides) under Linum usitatissimum (flax). RNAcentral's name for it is "long non-coding RNA (LUSI_LNC000234)". The record is from RNAcentral. Lineage: Eukaryota; Viridiplantae; Streptophyta; Magnoliopsida; Malpighiales; Linaceae.